CCCUUCCUCCACCUGUGAGUUUUCUGAGAGUGUCUCACAACUAAAACUUCUUCUCCUACUUUUCAUCUUUGAAAGAGUUCAAAUCAAGAAGGAGGCAUCUGAUUGACCAUCGAAGAAGAAUCAGCACAGUACUAGCAUACUAUACUGAUUUUCUGGAUCAGAACUUCUGAUCAUGAUUCGUGGGCUCAUGUGGAUGACUCCUAGAGGUCGGAUGUAUGUGCGGCUUAUAAUAUCAUC
RNAcentral lists this long non-coding RNA (237 nucleotides) under Elaeis guineensis (African oil palm). Its description in RNAcentral is "long non-coding RNA (EGUI_LNC041387)". Lineage: Eukaryota; Viridiplantae; Streptophyta; Magnoliopsida; Arecales; Arecaceae. The record is from RNAcentral.